GUCCAAACUUGCUCCCCAAAGGGAGAUUUUAUGGGAUUACGUACCUUGAAGAUGGUUGGUUGUCUGGUCAAUAAGAAAAUGAAUGUCCUUCAAUUGACAUCUCUCAUCGUCUUUUGCCUCCUGGAUGGAGUUCCACAUGUGUCAGCACAGACAAGCAGUCCACUUAACUCUUCAGAGAUUUGCUCAACCUACACAAACCUCUCUCAGCCAUGGCGGAACCGCAACUUUUUCUCUCUC
Long non-coding RNA from Sardina pilchardus (European sardine), 237 nucleotides. RefSeq lists it as uncharacterized. The transcript is spliced from 3 exons. The record is from RefSeq and is a predicted model, not a curated record. Lineage: Eukaryota; Metazoa; Chordata; Actinopteri; Clupeiformes; Clupeidae.